GCCCCGCUCAGGGGAACUCCAGGGAAUAAACCCAGCUGGAAGGAUCCCAGGGAGCCUCUGGCAGCACGAGGGCAGCUCACACAUCCCGAGAAGCCUGGGCAGCCCGGCUCUGCCACGGCCCAGGCUGACAGGGCUGCACAUUCCUUCCCAAAUGUGGAGGGACUGCCUGGGAACGGGAUACCAAGGAGGGCUGUGCCAGGGCCACCAGCCCUCAGCUGUCCUGCAUUGCCCUGCAAAACCCAAUUAACCCCAGGCAUCGGCAGCACAUCUGCAGGGGUGGAGCUGUCACCCUCUGCAGAGCAGGGAUGUGUGGGGACACCACCUCCACUGGGACAGCCCAUCCAUCCCAGCAGGGUCCAGGGGCCAGUGGGGAUCUUUGGGAUCCUCUCUGCACAAAGUCCCUCACAUUUGGGAAGAAUUCUGUACCUCUCCUCAUUUGUGAUUCAGUGGUGGAGCUGCUGCUGCUGUUGUUAUCCUGAGUCAUCACUAGGCAGCACAGCCCAUCCAUCAUCCAUCAUCCAUCAUCAUCCAUCAUCAUUGUCCAUCCUCCAUCAUUGUCCAUCAUUAUCCAUCAUCCAUCAUCGUCCAUCCUCCAUCAUUAUCCAUCAUCAUCCAACACUGUCCAUCAUCCACUGCCCACCAUCAUCCAUCAUUGUCCAUCAUCCCUCAGCAGCCAGAGCCACCUGCUCCUGCAGAGCCAGGAUGAGUGCAAUGUCAGCAAGGGGAGGGGUCUCUGCCUGGGCCAGGGGUCACCCAUGUCACCCCCAGGGCCACCCUGGCAGCAGGAAGGUGGCCCUGGAUUUGGAGUCUCUUCCGGAGCUGUUUUUUGCUGGAGGGAAAAACCAUCAGGAAAACAGGAACAGGCAGAGGCUGCAGCCAGGGAUUCUCACCUAGGAGGGAAACUCUGGAUCAUAGGAGUCAGGAAAGCCCUGCCUGGCUGCCCAUCCUGAGCUUUAGGCAGCUCCAAGGUACAGCUGCAAAAGGACCCCCACGCCCAGGGCUCGGCUCUGGCAGCAGCCCUGGAAGGGUAAAUCUGGCUCCAGCUUCAUCAGCUCCCUCAGCACUUGUCAAAUUAAGGGCUCUGGUUGGAGCCUCAAAGGCAGAGAAGCUCUGCAGCAGCCAGGGAAGGGAGCUCAGGGAAUUGCAGGAGCUGGGAUUGCAGGAGAUGGAGUUAAUGUCUUCUCUGAGGGGGAAAUCUGGUGUCAGAGAGGAACAAGGUGAUAAAGCUUGACUCAGGGAGCCUGAAUCCCUGAGAGGGCAGAGCUGGUGCCUCAGUAUCUGCCACGGAACAGAGUCCCCAGGGCCUUCAUUCCCAGGAAAGACAGAGCUCAUUCCUCACCAGGGAAUCCAACAGCUCCAUCCACCCAGGGAAUCAGGGAAUGGCAGGAUCAGCUCUGGCCCUCCCCACAUCUCCCCGAGCCCAGUGCUUCUGUUUGGAUUUUCCUUUGAGGAAUGGAUUUAAUGUGCAGUCAAUUGAGUGGAACCUCUGAUGUAAAUGCAGGCAUUUGUUUCUUGGAGUCUCAGGGGUUCCAUUAAUUAUCCUGGGCCCCAUGGCCAAGCUGGAAAGGAAUUUGUUUCCAAGGGAAAAGGAGCAAGUCACAGGCAGAUGCAGGAUGGGUUUCAGACACAACAGAAGAAAGGAACUUAAUUCAGGGUUUAGGAUCAGAAGUGACCAGAGUUUGCCAGCUGAAAUGUCUCUGGACAUUUUAGGCCACCAGGCAAGGUGGGACAAGGAGAGGCUGUUCCUGCAGGAUGGCAGUGCCUGGCCUGGGCUCAAUCCUCCCCUGCACAUGAUCCUCCCACCCCCAAACACACCAUGGCUCCUCCUGCCAGGUGUCCUGGAGCUCUCCUCCAGCCCAGCCCAGAGCCUGGGGCAGAAAAACUCCUUUUCCAG
This is a long non-coding RNA of Serinus canaria (Common canary), 1894 nucleotides long. The record is from Ensembl. NCBI's taxonomy places the organism in Eukaryota, Metazoa, Chordata, Aves, Passeriformes, Fringillidae.